CAAGUUGUUGUCCGGCAACAGCACUUCUGCAAUUUAUUGUUAAAUGUGCACUCGUAUAGGAAAUGAGGGUCUCGCUUCCGAGUUUUAGCAGGUUGCAAAAUGUUGGCAAGUCUUGCAUCUGCUCCGGCUUCAGAGUUCAUUUCUCAAACAGUAGAGGCCAUUUUUGAAGUUGUUGCUGCUUCCAGGGACGUCCUUGUUAAGAAGGAUACGUUUAAGGAACUUGCAACUUAUUUGGAAAGGAUAGUCCCCAUUUUAAGAGAGUUGAAUAAGAAUACAGUUUCGCAUUCUGAGAGCUUAAACAAUGUUCUGGACAUCCUUAACAGGGAAGUAAGAGCUGCAAAGAAACUGACUAUUGAGUGUAGCAAGAGAAACAAAAUGUAUCUCUUAAUGCAUUGCCGAACAAUAGUUAACCACCUACAGAAUACUAUGAGAGAGAUCAGUCACGCUCUAGCUCUUCUUCCCCUGAACUCUUUAGAACUUUCAUCCGACAUAGUUGAAGAAAUUGGUAAGGUUUGUGACAAUAUGCUUGGAGCUGAGUUCAGGGCAGCUGUAGCAGAAGAAGAGAUUCUGGACAAAAUCGAGUCUGGAAUCCAGGAGAGGAAUAUGGAUCGUUCUUAUGCCAAUAGUUUGUUGGUUCUCAUAGCAGAGGCAGUUGGAAUCUCAACUGAGAGGUCAGCAUUGAAGAAGGAAUUAGAGGAAUUCAGAAGUGAGAUAGAAAAUGCUCGGCUAAGGAAAGACCAGGCAGAAGCUAUACAGAUGGAACAGAUAAUUGCUUUAUUAGAAAGAGCUGAUGCAGCUUCAUCUCCUGAGGAGAAGGAAAGGAAAUAUUUCACUAAGCGAAGAUCAUUGGGCAGUCAACCAUUGGAGCCACUUCAGUCAUUUCAUUGCCCAAUCACUGGGGAUGUUAUGGUGGAGCCUGUGGAAACUUCUUCUGGACAAACAUUUGAGAGAACUGCUAUAGAAAAAUGGUUAGCUGAUGGGAAUAAUUUGUGUCCGCUGACCAGGACUCCUUUAGACACUUCAGUUUUACGGCCCAAUAAAACUCUGAGGCAAUCAAUAGAAGAAUGGAAGGAUAGAAAUACCAUGAUUAUGAUUGCUACAAUGAAAUCAAAACUCAAGUCUGAAGACGAGGAGGAAGUGCUCCAUUGCCUUAAAGAACUACUGGAUCUCUGUAAACAAAGAGACCUGCAUCAGGAAUGGGUCAUAAUGGAGGACUAUAUACCUAUUCUCCUUCAACUUCUUGGUGUAAAAAAACCCGAGAUAAGGAAUCAAGUUCUUGUCAACCUUUUAACUUUGGUGAAGGACAGUGAUGAUGCCAAGGUAAUACUUUGAUUAAUAACGAAAUUGUGCUCGUGUAUAGUGUUCAUAGAAUGUUCAUAUUAUCUGAUAUUAAUGUUGCAGGAAAGAACUGCCAGAGCUGAUAAUGGGAUUGAACUUAUUGUUCGGUCACUUGGGCGCCGUGUCGAGGAAAGAAAAUUAGCAGUGGCAUUGCUAUUGGAAUUGUCAAAGUAUGAUUUGAUAAGAGACAAAAUUGGGAAGGUUCAAGGUUGCAUACUCCUAUUAGUUACCAUGUCCAAUAGUGAUGAUAAUCAAGCUGCCAGAGACGCACGAGAGCUGUUGGACAAUCUGUCAUUCUCAGAGAAAAAUGUUAUACAAAUGGCAAAGGCAAAUUAUUUCAAACAUUUGCUGCAGCGUCUUUCUACAGGACCAGAAGAUGUAAAAGUGGUCAUGGCAUCAAAUUUGGCAGAUAUGGAGUUGACCGACCACAACAAGGAGUCUUUGCUUGAAGGGGGAGUACUGGGUCCACUUCUUGAUAUGGUCUCACAUGGUGACGUUCCUAUGAAAAUGGGGGCUGUCAGAGCUCUUAGAAACCUCUCUAGCUUACCCCAAAAUGGUCUGCAGAUGGUUAGAGCAGGUGCAGAACGCCCAUUGCUUGACCUUCUCUUUGAUCAUAACUCAUCACUGUCAAGCUUUCGUGCUCAUGCAGCAGCCACAAUCAUGCAUCUAGCCAGGUCAGUGGUGUUUCAAGAAUCCAACCAGACACCUGCUACUUUUCUGGAAUCAGAUGAAGAUAUAUUCAGGCUUUUCUAUUUGAUUAACCUAACGGGGCCUGAUGUACAGCACAGCAUCAUUCUCACCUUCCACACUUUGUGUCAAUCCCCGUCUUCUAAAAGCAUCAAGACCAAGUUGAUAGAGUCCUCAGCUGUGCAAGUAUUGACUCAAUUAUUUGAGAAUGAUAACUCCAAUUUACGAGCAAAUGCAGUAAAGCUGUUUUCUUGCUUAAUAGAAGGUCGCAAUGAAGCCAUUAACAUAAGGGAGCAUGUGGGUCAGAAAUGCAUUGAGACUAUAGUCAAGAUUAUCAAAUGUUCCAGUGAUGAAGAAGAGAUUGCUUCUGCAAUGGGUGUUAUCACUAACCUUCCAGAAAUCCCCCAAAUCACACAAUGGUUUGUCGAUGCUGGGGCACUACCUGUCAUAUUCAGUUUCCUCCGGAAUGACAAGCAGAAUGGUCCCCAUAAAAAUCAGGUUAUAGAGAAUGCUGUUGGAGCCAUUUGUCGUUUCACUGUUCCAUCAAACUUGGAAUGGCAACGGAGUGCAGCUGAAGCUGGCAUUAUACCCUUGUUCGUACAGUUGCUGGAUUCCGGAACCUCCUUGACUAAAACACGUGCAGCUUUAUCUCUUUCUCGUUUUUCACAGAGUUCACCCAGGUUGACCAGGCCAUUACCAAAGCGUGGAGGACUCUGGUGCUUCUCACCCCCUCCAGAAUCUGGUUGCCCUGUUCAUGGAGGAAUUUGUGGCAUUAUUUCGUCAUUUUGCCUUGUGGAGGCUGAUGCAGUGAGACCAUUAGUCCGGAUGCUUGGGGAACCUGAUCCUGAAGCUUGUGAGGCUUCUUUAGAUGCUUUAGUAACUUUGAUUGAAGGUGAGAGACUGCAGAAUGGUAGUAAGGUGCUCACAGAUGCAGAUGCCAUACCUCCUAUAAUAAACUUUCUUGUUCAGCCCUCCCCUAGUUUGCAGGAGAAGGCUCUACAUGCUCUAGAGAGAAUGUUCCGGCUGCUGGAGUUUAAACAGAAGUUUGGACCCUCAGCUCAGAUGCCUUUAGUUGACUUAACUCAGCGUGGAACUGGUGGUAUGAAAUCUAUGGCAGCCAGAAUACUUGCUCACUUGAACGUGCUUCAUGAUCAGUCUUCUUAUUUCUAAAGGGAUCCUUUCUAAAGGCCUUCUUGGUUCACCUGCAUGUGUUCAGUGAUAUAAAGAUCAAGCAUAAACUCACUUUGAUGCUUCAACUUGACUAAUAUUGACAAGAGAACUCGCGGGGGAAAACUAGACAUGGCAGCCCUUCACUGCUCUAUGAGCUUGAAAGUAUCCGGUUUUCCUGACAUUAAUCUGAGGACGAAGUUCACUUUGUCUUGGCAUGGAUUUGCAGCUUCAAGUACCACAGUUAACAAUUGAAGUUCUACUGGUCUUAGACAGAAAUUGAGCUGUAUGACGAGUAGGAUUCCAAUGGAGCUUGAUUGUGGCACAAGACGUUCAUUUCUGACGGUAUAUUUGAAGCGAUUUGCUUGUUGGUGAAAGCAGAAGAAUAAUCAAUGUAAACCACCUCUGUUGAACUCGGGUAAGGAAGUUGAGGUCAUAUUUUUUUUGACAUCACUAAAUUCUUUUUCACUAUUAGGUGUGAAUUCUUUCUUGUGUAUAUGUAGGAAAAGCAGUUUAAAGAACCUAAUAUUGUGUCAUCCAAAUUUCAUUCAUAUUAUUACAUGGUCUAUGCAAUUUACGCCCAUGUUUCAUUGAAGCAGCUCCUGGAAACCUUGUCUUGCUCCUGAUCCUUGGUAAAGUGUGCUAGCAAAAGAUUCAAUGUGUAUGUAUGUAAUGCAUGUGUAUAAACAUCUUUUUGGUUAAUGUGCACGUUCUUUGUAUGUAUGUAGAUUUGUUUGAAACAAUACUUCUAUAUGGUAUAGAAAAUCACUGGUUAGUGUGC
RNA transcript from Fragaria vesca subsp. vesca, 3973 nucleotides. It is a transcript of the gene named U-box domain-containing protein 43-like, with no coding region annotated. Lineage: Eukaryota; Viridiplantae; Streptophyta; Magnoliopsida; Rosales; Rosaceae. The transcript has 4 exons. The record is from RefSeq and is a predicted model, not a curated record.